Long non-coding RNA from Cebus imitator (Panamanian white-faced capuchin), 412 nucleotides. RefSeq lists it as uncharacterized. The record is from RefSeq and is a predicted model, not a curated record. The transcript is spliced from 3 exons. Lineage: Eukaryota; Metazoa; Chordata; Mammalia; Primates; Cebidae.
UCCAGCCUGGUGACAGCAAGACUCUGUCUCAAAAAAAAAAAAAGAAAGAAAGAAAAAGAAAUGCAUGAUAUAGGAAAGCCCUAGUCUAUUUUCAAACUAAAAGUUACUACUACACCCCUUCAUUUCCUGAGUUUGUUCUUUCAUUUUACCUCUCAUAGUCAUACUCUCAAAGGCUUACAUAACCUAGGCAGAAAACACUGCAAAAAGAACACUGAACACCUGUUGAGAAACAAGGUAGUUUUAUUUCUUGGAAUUGCAAGAGCUAUAUAGAUAUUUUGUGACCUUAACACUAUUUAGCUAUCACCCAUGAGCAAACCAAAGCAUGUUCUUAACCACUAUACUACCCUUAAGUCAGAAAUGCCACUCCUGGGACUGUAUCCUGAACAAGCUUAGGUCAGAUCUAAAAAUUUAA